UGAUAAAAUACAUUUCAUAUUAUUACUGA
Molecule: small RNA, 29 nt
Filed under: Bombyx mori (domestic silkworm)
Lineage: Eukaryota; Metazoa; Arthropoda; Insecta; Lepidoptera; Bombycidae
Description: ovarian small RNA-32311
Source: RNAcentral